UGCAAGUCGAACGCGUUGGCCCAAUUGAUUGAUGGUGCUUGCACCUGAUUGAUUUUGGUCGCCAACGAGUGGCGGACGGGUGAGUAACACGUAGGUAACCUGCCCAGAAGCGGGGGACAACAUUUGGAAACAGAUGCUAAUACCGCAUAACAGCGUUGUUCGCAUGAACAACGCUUAAAAGAUGGCUUCUCGCUAUCACUUCUGGAUGGACCUGCGGUGCAUUAGCUUGUUGGUGGGGUAAUGGCCUACCAAGGCGAUGAUGCAUAGCCGAGUUGAGAGACUGAUCGGCCACAAUGGGACUGAGACACGGCCCAUACUCCUACGGGAGGCAGCAGUAGGGAAUCUUCCACAAUGGGCGCAAGCCUGAUGGAGCAACACCGCGUGAGUGAAGAAGGGUUUCGGCUCGUAAAGCUCUGUUGUUAAAGAAGAACACGUAUGAGAGUAACUGUUCAUACGUUGACGGUAUUUAACCAGAAAGUCACGGCUAACUACGUGCCAGCAGCCGCGGUAAUACGUAGGUGGCAAGCGUUAUCCGGAUUUAUUGGGCGUAAAGAGAGUGCAGGCGGUUUUCUAAGUCUGAUGUGAAAGCCUUCGGCUUAACCGGAGAAGUGCAUCGGAAACUGGAUAACUUGAGUGCAGAAGAGGGUAGUGGAACUCCAUGUGUAGCGGUGGAAUGCGUAGAUAUAUGGAAGAACACCAGUGGCGAAGGCGGCUACCUGGUCUGCAACUGACGCUGAGACUCGAAAGCAUGGGUAGCGAACAGGAUUAGAUACCCUGGUAGUCCAUGCCGUAAACGAUGAGUGCUAGGUGUUGGAGGGUUUCCGCCCUUCAGUGCCGGAGCUAACGCAUUAAGCACUCCGCCUGGGGAGUACGACCGCAAGGUUGAAACUCAAAGGAAUUGACGGGGGCCCGCACAAGCGGUGGAGCAUGUGGUUUAAUUCGAAGCUACGCGAAGAACCUUACCAGGUCUUGACAUCUUGCGCCAACCCUAGAGAUAGGGCGUUUCCUUCGGGAACGCAAUGACAGGUGGUGCAUGGUCGUCGUCAGCUCGUGUCGUGAGAUGUUGGGUUAAGUCCCGCAACGAGCGCAACCCUUGUUACUAGUUGCCAGCAUUAAGUUGGGCACUCUAGUGAGACUGCCGGUGACAAACCGGAGGAAGGUGGGGACGACGUCAGAUCAUCAUGCCCCUUAUGACCUGGGCUACACACGUGCUACAAUGGACGGUACAACGAGUCGCGAACUCGCGAGGGCAAGCAAAUCUCUUAAAACCGUUCUCAGUUCGGACUGCAGGCUGCAACUCGCCUGCACGAAGUCGGAAUCGCUAGUAAUCGCGGAUCAGCAUGCCGCGGUGAAUACGUUCCCGGGCCUUGUACACACCGCCCGUCACACCAUGAGAGUUUGUAACACCCAAAGUCGGUGGGGUA
This 1424-nucleotide ribosomal RNA is filed under the name Limosilactobacillus fermentum. Its description in RNAcentral is "bacterial SSU rRNA". It matches the Rfam family "Bacterial small subunit ribosomal RNA". The record is from RNAcentral. Lineage: Bacteria; Bacillati; Bacillota; Bacilli; Lactobacillales; Lactobacillaceae.